GGAUCCAGACUUUGAUCAUGGCUCAGGAUGAACGCUGGCGGCGUGCUUAACACAUGCAAGUCGAACGAAGCACUCUAUUUGAUUUUCUUCGGAAAUGAAGAUUUUGUGACUGAGUGGCGGACGGGUGAGUAACGCGUGGGUAACCUGCCUCAUACAGGGGGAUAACAGUUGGAAACGACUGCUAAUACCGCAUAAGCGCACAGGAUUGCAUGAUCCGGUGUGAAAAACUCCGGUGGUAUGAGAUGGACCCGCGUCUGAUUAGCCAGUUGGCAGGGUAACGGCCUACCAAAGCGACGAUCAGUAGCCGACCUGAGAGGGUGACCGGCCACAUUGGGACUGAGACACGGCCCAAACUCCUACGGGAGGCAGCAGUGGGGAAUAUUGCACAAUGGGGGAAACCCUGAUGCAGCGACGCCGCGUGAGC
Molecule: ribosomal RNA, 424 nt
Filed under: uncultured Bacillota bacterium
Lineage: Bacteria; Bacillati; Bacillota
Description: bacterial SSU rRNA
Rfam family: Bacterial small subunit ribosomal RNA
Source: RNAcentral